RNAcentral lists this ribosomal RNA (868 nucleotides) under uncultured archaeon. Its description in RNAcentral is "bacterial SSU rRNA". It matches the Rfam family "Archaeal small subunit ribosomal RNA", at positions 1 to 878 of the family's 1478-position model. The record is from RNAcentral.
UUCCGGGUGAUCCUGCCGGACCCGACUGCUAUCAGAGUGGGACUAAGCCAUGCGAGUCAACAUAGCAAUAUGUGGCAUACGGCUCAGUAACACGUAGUCAACAUGCCCAGGGGACGUGGAUAACCUCGGGAAACUGAGGAUAAACCGCGAUAGGUCAUCACUUCUGGAAUGGGUAAUGACUUAAAUCUAUAUGGCCCCUGGAUUGGACUGCGGCCGAUCAGGCUGUUGGUGAGGUAAUGGCCCACCAAACCUGUAACCGGUACGGGCUCUGAGAGGAGGAGCCCGGAGAUGGGCACUGAGACAAGGGCCCAGGCCCUAUGGGGCGCAGCAGGCGCGAAACCUCUGCAAUAGGCGAAAGCUUGACAGGGUUACUCUGAGUGAUUUCCGUUAAGGAGAUCUUUUGGCACCUCUAAAAAUGGUGCAGAAUAAGGGGUGGGCAAGUCUGGUGUCAGCCGCCGCGGCAAUACCAGCACCCCGAGUGGUCGGGACGUUUAUUGGGCCUAAAGCAUCCGUAGCCGGUUCUACAAGUCUUCCGUUAAAUCCACCUGCUUAACAGAUGGGCUGCGGAAGAUACUAUAGAGCUAGGAGGCGGGAGAGGCAAGCGGUACUCGAUGGGUAGGGGUAAAAUCCGUUGAUCCAUUGAAGACCACCAGUGGCGAAGGCGGCUUGCCAGAACGCGCUCGACGGUGAGGGAUGAAAGCUGGGGGAGCAAACCGGAUUAGAUACCCGGGUAGUCCCAGCUGUAAACGAUGCAGACUCGGUGAUGAGUUGGCUUAUUGCUAACUCAGUGCCGCAGGGAAGCCGUUAAGUUUGCCGCCUGGGGAGUACGGUCGCAAGACUGAAACUUAAAGGAAUUGGCGGGGGAGCA